UUCGAUUUUAUAUGAGCAUUUCUAUUUAUACCCAGGGACCACUGCAGCCCUGAGCUGAGCACGAGGCUGUGCAGGAGGCGGGCAUCCCCCUCCCCCGGCCCCCAUUGCCCACCUGUGGGCACCCCCAGGGGGUGAGCACAGGGCGGGGGGGUCUCGCUAUUUAUUUCCUGCGUGUGCAAGGCACCCCCCUGCCCUCCAUGGCAUGGAGCUGCAGGGCUCGGGCUGGGUGGUCUGCGUGUGCGUCCUGCCCUCUGUCCCGCCCCCCCCAAAACACAAACACCAGAAGCCCCCUCCCCACGUUUGUGGCAUUUCCCCACCUCUCCUCUCCCUGUAGGUGACCCCAUUUUAACGCCGUUCAUUCCAUGGAUCUAAAGUAUGUUGUACAUACUGCUCAGAGUUGUCUUGCAAGUUAAGGCUUCCCUUUACUAUAAGACUUAUAAAUAAUAAAAAGGAAAAAAACCCAAAACUUAUUUUUUAUCCUUCCCCAUGGUAACUGUGUUUUCUUGGGUUCGGGGAGGGGGCAGCAGGGCUGGGAACCUUCCCGUGCUCCUUACUCACCCUGAGGGCAGGUGGCAGCUCUGCUUUAUGGCCCCCCGGCUCCUUUUUGGUAUGGCUAGCACCCUGAGGGCCUCACUCUGCCCGGAUGGGGGUGGAGCUCAGACCCCUACCCUGCAGCCUCCAGGCUGGGCACAGGCUGCUGCAAGAAGUGCAUCACCGCCUUCACCACUUUUUCCGGCACAAUGUUGUAGACUGGAUGCGUGGGCCGCAGGCGGUUUUCGGGGAUGCCCAGGACCAACUCGUGGUGCAGAUCUCCACUGCCAAAGUGCUGGGCAAUGGCCAACCCGCUCAGGCAGUAGCAGGUGUGGUAGAAGUCCCGUGACUUUCCUGGCUUGUCCAGCAGCCCCCCAGCUGGGCACUGGCAGCACAGCAGGAUGUACUCCUGCAGAGCCGACUGGUCGAACAUCCAGUGUGACAUGCUGAGUGCCGUGUCACCCUGCGCGUGAAGGGCACGGUGCAGCAGGGGCAGCAGCCCCGCCUGCCAGAAGGAGUAGCAGCCAUCCACCAGCUUGUUGCAGCGGCCCUGGAAACCGCCCUCGAAGUGCAUCUGCCGCCCGGUCACCCAGUGCAGCAAGCUGCGCAGGUUCAGCAGAUGCUCCUUCUUCAGGAUGACCAGAGCUGCCAGCCCGCAGAACGUGUACCCACCGUGAGCCUCCAUGCCCGGCACCCCGCCGAUACCACCCUCCCAGUUCUGGCACCUGGCAAUCCACUCGGCCGUCCCGGUGAA
Molecule: long non-coding RNA, 1285 nt
Filed under: Gallus gallus (chicken)
Lineage: Eukaryota; Metazoa; Chordata; Aves; Galliformes; Phasianidae
Source: RNAcentral